UAUGACAGCACAAAGCAAAGCCGGGAGACUCUUUUUGCCCUCAGCCCCCACCAUGCUUCUUAUUCCUGCUGAUCUGCUUGUCUCAUUUAAGCAGACUGUUUGAAAAGAAAGAGGAGGAAGGAGAAGGAACAGAAGGAAGAAAAGGAGAGAAGGAAGGAGACGGGUUCCUUAGUCACCGUUGCCAUUUCCCCCUUCUUGCUGCAAAGACCUUCUGAAGUCCUGGAGCUCCCCGGUUGCAGUAGAAGGCAUUAUGUCAGCUCUCAAAGAAAAUUCCCAUUUGAUGUGCAAUAUGAAGCAUGAUUUAAAUGCAGAGGACAUCAAAGCCCUCAAAGGAGAGCAGGGCCGCACCAAAGUAGCUUGGUCCCCUGAAUGGACUUCACAUUGUAACCGCAGGACCAGCCCAAACUGGUCCUGCCUUGUCAAUAGUAAGUACUGAGUUGUUUUUCAGAGACAACAGAGCCAAACCGGAAGUCAUGCAGCUGAAGCACAUGCAGAGAAUUCUGACCUCAAAUAACACUCAGAACCAAAGGACAGGAAAGUAAGCAGAACAUGAAGACAGGAACACUUUCAGAAGGGAAGGUUCUGUGGUCCAGGAAGAUCCACGGCUGAACUGCUUUACCGCAUUUUACCACAAGAGGCCAAGUUCCAAAGCGAGCUGCCAGAAACUGGCCCCCCAGCAUUUCCACAUACCAUGCUGUCCCCAACCUCCAAAUGCGGGAGACACAUCUGAGCCCUGCCUUCUGUCUCCCUGCCAGUUGGCCUCACAAUAAAGCUUGCUUUGCUCAAAA
Molecule: long non-coding RNA, 788 nt
Organism: Phacochoerus africanus (Common warthog)
Lineage: Eukaryota; Metazoa; Chordata; Mammalia; Artiodactyla; Suidae
Exons: 2
Source: RefSeq, a predicted model, not a curated record